This is an RNA transcript of Lotus japonicus, 2852 nucleotides long. RefSeq lists it as uncharacterized. Lineage: Eukaryota; Viridiplantae; Streptophyta; Magnoliopsida; Fabales; Fabaceae. The transcript is spliced from 7 exons. The record is from RefSeq and is a predicted model, not a curated record.
UUGCCACAUCUGGGGACCGCGAGCCUAAUAAAAUUCAUCCAGGGACGAUUCUGAAGUCGGUGCAAACAUCCAGGGACCAAUGUGACUAUUUACCCCAAUUAUAUUCCUCAAACCCGCAGUUUUACGGUUUUGGCUUCCACACCACAAGAGAAGAAGGAAUGCGCGAUGGAAAUUUUCAACCUCAGAAUAAUACGAAAGACAUUCGGCAUCCUUCGCCUCCGAGGUGACACAAGCUGAUUCAAAGGCCUUAUGGGAAUGGUGAUUUAAGAGCCAUGAAAUUGGUCAAGGGCAUUUUGAGGACACUGGUGUUAAUAAAAACAAUGUUAGCAAAGAAUGGACAUAGGACAAUCAUGGAGGAAUUCAACCUUCCUUACAGGACCUUUAACAAUAUGGAAUUUAAGCUUAAUGACUUUCGGGGUGUUCAGCCCUCCAUCCCUCAUCUGUUGCAGAGGGUGGCCUCUCUUCGGAGUCCCCCGGCGAUAGUUGGUGCUGCAGCGUGGCCAGCUACGAAGCUCCCCUCUACUUGGAGCCGUCCUAGGGAGGAGGUGAUCAAGCUUAAUUUCAAUGCCUCCCUUUCGCCUUCCAAGUUUUCUGGCCUCGGUUUGAUUGCGAGGAAUCAUAAAGGUGUGGUAAUGGCUGCUGCAGCUCUAUACCAUUUGGCUGCUCCUUCUCCCUUGCUGGCGGAAGUUGGCUUUCCGCAUCAAAGAGGAAAACUGAGAGCUGGAUCUUGCCAUUGUGGUCGGCGGUUUCUGCAUCCGCUUCUGGUACCUAUUAAAUCUGUUCCAUUGCAUGAUGAGGAAAUGCCGUGAAUGGUGAACCAAUCUGGAGGAGCCACAUUGGCAUUAAGUCCCCCAUGGAGAGGAUUCUAAAAUUUAGUCACUGACUCCUGGUGUCCAGGAGAUUAAUCACAAUCUGGUGGUUUCAGAUUCAAUAAAUCUCAUGGUUGACCAGUGAUACUGCUACUUAUGGAGAAGGACUAAUUUUAUUAUUAGAAAGGAUAGCUGCAUGGAAAUGUCUUGUGAGUGUAACUAACUAGUGGAUGAUGGAUUUCAAGUGGCACCAACAUAUAGCAACACAAAAUUUCUGAAGAGAAUUAAAAUAUAAACAAAGCUAGUGGAAGAAAUAUAAUGAUACAAGUACCCUGAGGAGGAAAUUAAAUAACUAACGACUUAGGAGAUAAGCAUGCUGUUAAUGAAACAGGUGAGUUUAGGAUGGUUGUUCUCUACAAAUACUUUAAAUGUAUAUUACUGGCCUAAUUCAUUAUUUCUAAUGUUGGGAAACCACUCUUUUCUUUAGUAGAUAAAAUGAAUGAACUAGUAUGGAUAGCCUAAAUGGUACUUGAUGGAUUAAAAUUUCCCAAGUCCUGGGUUCAAAUCCUACUGGUACCUAGAUACCAAAAAAAAUAGAUAAAAUGAAGAAAUUCAAUGCCAAACUUUAUAAUGGAAGGGUGCUUGAUAGGCAUGGUAUGAGCUCUGAUCUGAAUUGAAAACUGAAUAUCUAUGCCAGAAACUGAGAAAAGUAACAUAAUUAGGAUCAAAUUUGUUAGAGCAUUCUAGCAGAAAAUAACUGUAGAUUUGAUAAGUGGAAUCUGAUUUAGAAUGCAUUCCAGAUGAGCAAGGUUAAAGCUUUGGCGUUAUAGUAGAUGAAGAUAGUCUUCCCAAAAUGGUGGUGAUGACUAUCUUAGAAGUCUCUAAUUGGUUAUGGUUUUAAAUGCUACAUACUUAGAUCUUAUACUAAGUCAAGUGCUUCCCUAGGGUGUUUAUUCACUAUGAAUUUGGGCAUUUUUAAGUCCAUUGUUAACUGCCUUGAAAGUUGGCUGGGGCGGCAUCUUAUGUAUGAUUGGAAUUUGAGCUAUUAAUUUUAAUUUCAAAAGUAUGUGCAUAAGAUUUGAAAGUCCCUAAAUCCCGCCACAAAUGAACUAAUGUUUGAUAAUAAUCUUAGCUCUACGUUGGCUGUGAUUCACAUAUUCAUUUCUACUGUGCAAUUAAUAUUAACUUUAAGUCUGAUUUUCUCUCUCCCUCCCUCCAGCCUUGCUACUUCAUAAGGUCCUAGUUGCUGAGAGAAGUGAGAAUUGUAAUUGAUACACAGAAAGACUUGGUAUCUGAGUUCAUUGUCGUUACACCUACAAAAAGAGUACAAACUCUCCAUGUGUAAUUCAGAUAGUAAGUUUUUUCUAUCUCCCGUGGAUAGGGGUAAUCCUUACAAGUUAAGAAGAUGCGUAAUGUAAAAAAUGUCUCUCCUAAUCUAUCUCAGCCAGCUACAGUGCAAGAUUUAGUUCCCAUUCAAGAAAGAAAUUACACGUAGGAAGACAUCUUCACUGCAAGGAAUUUGUAAGGCACCGAUGGGUUGAUCAUAUCCAAACUCUUCCGCAGCUUGAUUUAGCGAGUCUUGAAAGAAAGGAUGGUUCAAGAAGGAUAUAGGGAUUACAUACCGCUUCUGUUUCUCUCCAACAUACACUGCAAGAUAGCCCUUCGGCACUUCAACAAUAGGUUUUGAUGCUUCUUCUCUAUUAGUGGGCGAUGCCUGUUGAAUAGCUUUUAAACGGAAACCCAUUGUUUGUGCUUGUCUGAGGACAGAAAAGAAAAGCACAGAUCUCAAAGUUCAGCAGAUAUGGUAAAUACUUGAGGAUGCCAAUGACUUGUGUUGUUUGUGAAGGCAGGAAAUGUGCAAUUAUAGUUUUUACUUUUUAGGUUCUUUGGAAACCCAAGUCUAAUUGUUAAAUGGAGGGCCUAUUAUCUAAUUUGAAAGUGUAAUAGAAAAAGUAAUUAUCAAAUAGAGAAAUUGAAUGUUACUCCUGAUAAGAAAUUUACGGGAUUCCCUAUUUCAGGGGAUAAUAAGUUCCAAAAAUAGGU